AACGCACCUUGUGCUCUUUGGUAUUCCGAAGAGCAUACCUGUUUGAGUGUCAUUUAAAUUUCCCUCAACCUCGUUUCUUCCCGAAGUGAGGCUUGGAUUGCUGGAGUGUUUUGCAGGCAUAUUUUUGUGUUCUGCUCCUCUGAAAUGCAUUAGUAGAGAUCAUCCUUUUUUUGAAGGCUUUUUGAUCUUUCCAUAUGGUGUGAUAGAUAAUUUCUUACCACCUGCUUGUGGAGAUCUAGGCCGGAAAGAUGAUUUGCUUUGCUCUACAACUGUCUUUUUAAGGACUGAACUUUUCAAUAGUUCAUUAUUUGACAUUUGAUCUCAAAUCAGGUAGGACUACCCGCUGAACUUAA
This 353-nucleotide unclassified non-coding RNA is filed under the name uncultured fungus. RNAcentral describes it as "sequence contains ITS2". The record is from RNAcentral. Lineage: Eukaryota; Fungi.